Molecule: ribosomal RNA, 253 nt
Filed under: uncultured bacterium
Lineage: Bacteria
Description: partial 16S ribosomal RNA
Rfam family: Bacterial small subunit ribosomal RNA
Source: RNAcentral
UACGUAGGGUGCAAGCGUUGUCCGGAAUUAUUGGGCGUAAAGAGCUCGUAGGCGGUCUGUCACGUCGGCUGUGAAAACUCGGGGCUCAACUCCGAGCCUGCAGUCGAUACGGGCAGACUAGAGUGCUGUAGGGGAGACUGGAAUUCCUGGUGUAGCGGUGAAAUGCGCAGAUAUCAGGAGGAACACCGGUGGCGAAGGCGGGUCUCUGGGCAGUAACUGACGCUGAGGAGCGAAAGCGUGGGGAGCGAACAGG